This 422-nucleotide ribosomal RNA is filed under the name uncultured bacterium. RNAcentral describes it as "bacterial SSU rRNA". It matches the Rfam family "Bacterial small subunit ribosomal RNA", at positions 355 to 774 of the family's 1533-position model. The record is from RNAcentral.
UAAUGAAUAUUGGUCAAUGGAGGGAACUCUGAACCAGCCAUGCCGCGUGCAGGAAGACGGCCCUCUGGGUUGUAAACUGCUUUUAUUCGGGAAUAAACCUAUUUACGUGUAAAUAGCUGAAUGUACCGAAGGAAUAAGGAUCGGCUAACUCCGUGCCAGCAGCCGCGGUAAUACGGAGGAUCCAAGCGUUAUCCGGAUUUAUUGGGUUUAAAGGGUGCGUAGGCGGCUUAUUAAGUCAGGGGUGAAAGACGGUGGCUCAACCAUCGCAGUGCCCUUGAUACUGAUGAGCAUGAAUGGACUAGAGGUAGGCGGAAUGUGACAAGUAGCGGUUAAAUGCAGAGAUAUGUCACAGAACACCGAUUGAGAAGGCAGCUUACUAUGGGUUAAUUGACGCUGAGGCACGAAGGCGUGGGGAUCAAAAA